Molecule: non-coding RNA, 705 nt
Organism: Pelodiscus sinensis (Chinese soft-shelled turtle)
Lineage: Eukaryota; Metazoa; Chordata; Testudines; Trionychidae
Source: RefSeq, a predicted model, not a curated record
CACACUUCCCUGGCUGGCCCCGCUGUCCAAAACUAGUUUGGUGAGCUCAGGGGGAGAUCAGGCCAGUCUCUGCGAGGCCAGCGGCGGCUCUACCAUCGGGCUGCUGUGAUAACUCUCAACUGUUCGCUGAGGAGCAUCUGCUCUCGAGGAGCUGUUUCACCUUCCUGCUCAUUUUGCAAGCACCCUGCUGAUUUUGCCCGGCAGAGUCAUGCCGUGAACUUUCCAAGCACGGGGUCACACAUGGCACUCACAGAUCAUUCAGAGCAGCCCACGUCCCCCACUCUUCCAGAAGGGGAUUGUUAUUUUCCACUAUCCUGUGAGUCACUGGAGCUUUCUGGAUACAAACUAUGAAUACUGACCUGCAGUGACCUCUUAUGGAAAGCAACAGAAAAUGUCCCACAGGGAACAAACCUACACUGGCCAUGGUAGCAUGUGGGAACUACAUGGCCUUGUGGAGCUGGAUGAACAGUCAAGUAAAACAAACGGAGUAUUGGGUCUAAAUCACCAUGUUAGCCUCAUUCUGUAAGACCAACCACUUUUACAUCGUGCUGUAACAUCCCUAUCCCAGGUCAAAAGAUACUGCAAAGCUCCUGAAAAGCUGAUUUGCCUCCUUGUCUUCAUUAUUCAUUAACUAUUGUCGUGCUUCCCAACUGUAGUUUCCAUCCUAUUUGAAACCUAAGUCUGCCUUCUCCACCAUCUUUGGCA